UUUCUUCAGGCCAUGUUAGA
This 20-nucleotide unclassified non-coding RNA is filed under the name Mus musculus (house mouse). RNAcentral's name for it is "oocyte_clustered_small_RNA10959". Lineage: Eukaryota; Metazoa; Chordata; Mammalia; Rodentia; Muridae. The record is from RNAcentral.